AUGUCAAGAGCUUUGUAAUGUUUUGAACAACCAAUAAAAAAAAACAGCAUACUAAAAAAAAAAAAGAGGAAAAAAGGAACUAAGAAUACACAAAUAGCAUGGGAGAUUAGAACCUAGUCUAAUUAUUACAUGUAAAGGGUCUAAGCAUAGCAGUAAACAGACAAAGUUACCAGCUGGAUGUAAAGCAAGACCUGACUAUAUACUGCCUAUAAGUGCAUCUUAAAUAUGAAGACACAGGGCAGGGAGUUAGCAACGAUGGUGGAAUGUGAUGGGCAUCAUUAUCCAAAGUGCAUGUAUGAAGACACAAAUUGGUGUGAACAUACUGUAAUACAACUAGAGGUAUGAAAAAUUGUGCUCUAUAUGUAUGUGUAAUGUGAAUUAUAAUGCAUUCUGCUGUCAUUUAUUUAAAAAAAUCAAUUAAAAAAUAUGAAGACACAAAUAGAUUAAAAGAAUGGAAGAGCAUACUGAUACUAAUGAAAAGAAAAAUGAAUUGAUUAUAUUCAUUAGUCAAAUUAGAUGUGCAGCAACGAGUAUUACUAGGGAGAGAGCCAUUUCAUAAUGAUAAAGGGAUUGAUUUGUUAAGAGAGCAUACAUUGAUGCAACAAAAAUCAAUAAAACUGUAGGAAGAAAUAGACAAAUCUACAAUUACAGUCAGAAAUUUCAAUAAUAGAGCAAGUACUCAAAAAAACAGUAGGGAUAUAGAAGAUCGAAACAACAUCAUCGCCUGGCCUCACCAAUUGACAUGUAUAGAACUUUACACCUAACAACAGAAUACAUUUUUUUUAUGUGUAUACGCGACAUUUAACAAAAGAGAGCAUAUUCUAGGCAAUAAAAUAUGUCUUAUUAAAUGUAAAAGAUUUCAGGUCAGAUAAACUAUGUUCUCU
This 884-nucleotide long non-coding RNA is filed under the name Marmota monax (woodchuck). Lineage: Eukaryota; Metazoa; Chordata; Mammalia; Rodentia; Sciuridae. The record is from RNAcentral.